This is a long non-coding RNA of Cataglyphis hispanica, 534 nucleotides long. RefSeq lists it as uncharacterized. NCBI's taxonomy places the organism in Eukaryota, Metazoa, Arthropoda, Insecta, Hymenoptera, Formicidae. The transcript is spliced from 4 exons. The record is from RefSeq and is a predicted model, not a curated record.
CAACGCAUCGUUUCUCGCAGAGAGAAACAGCUGUGCGCUAAAGACAUGGAGCCCUUGAGGAACUACAAGUGAAACGUCAAAAGGAAAAAUAUAUAAUAGGCAACGAGGAACUGCUACCGAGGAUCACCGAACUGUUGCCGGUCAUCUCGACGAAACGCUUCCGAGUCGUUGGUUCAUUCGUGGAUAAUUCGGAAGAAAAUUGGGCAGAGCUGCUCGAACCGUUCGUCGAUGACGAUGUCGGCGGCGGCGCGGAACUCCUGGAAAUACCGUCGCAUCUGACAACAUGAGUGUGUGGAUGAUCAAUGGCAACAUCAAACCCUAACGUCUGUAGAAGAGCAUUUUCAUUGAACACCAAAUCUUGAGCUUGUUCAAGAAAUUGCUAAAAUCCAUCAUUAUAAGGUGGUGGUUGAUCUCUGUGAAGACACAUGUAUGCCAUUUUGAUGACAUGUUCUAAUUUCCUUGGCUGUUCUUCUACUUUUGCAGCUAAAAAAAGUGACGCGACAGCAAUAGCAUUUCUGUGGAACUGGGUUAGUG